GCCGCUGUAGCUCAGUUGGUAGAGCAGUUGAUUCGUAAUCAAAAGGUGGGAGGUUCGAUUCCUCUCAGCGGCA
This 73-nucleotide transfer RNA is filed under the name Fluoribacter gormanii. Its description in RNAcentral is "tRNA-Thr". It matches the Rfam family "tRNA". From Rfam's summary of the family: Transfer RNA (tRNA) molecules are approximately 80 nucleotides in length. Lineage: Bacteria; Pseudomonadati; Pseudomonadota; Gammaproteobacteria; Legionellales; Legionellaceae. The record is from RNAcentral. RNAcentral also lists the same sequence under 2 other names.